AGAGCGAACGCUGGCGGCAGGCUUAACACAUGCAAGUCGAGCGGGCGUAGCAAUACGUCAGCGGCAGACGGGUGAGUAACGCGUGGGAACAUACCUUUUGGUUCGGAACAACACAGGGAAACUUGUGCUAAUACCGGAUAAGCCCUUACGGGGAAAGAUUUAUCGCCGAAAGAUUGGCCCGCGUCUGAUUAGCUAGUUGGUGAGGUAACGGCUCACCAAGGCGACGAUCAGUAGCUGGUCUGAGAGGAUGAUCAGCCACAUUGGGACUGAGACACUGCCCAAACUCCUACGGGAGGCAGCAGUGGGGAAUAUUGGACAAUGGGCGCAAGCCUGAUCCAGCCAUGCCGCGUGAGUGAUGAAGGCCUAGGGUUGUAAAGCUCUUUGUGCGGGAAGAUAAUGACGGUACGCAAGAAUAAGCCCGGCUAACUUCGUGCCAGCAGCCGC
RNAcentral lists this ribosomal RNA (444 nucleotides) under uncultured bacterium. RNAcentral's name for it is "SSU rRNA". It matches the Rfam family "Bacterial small subunit ribosomal RNA", at positions 26 to 518 of the family's 1533-position model. The record is from RNAcentral.